RNAcentral lists this transfer RNA (58 nucleotides) under Polylabris halichoeres. RNAcentral's name for it is "tRNA-Ser". The record is from RNAcentral. Lineage: Eukaryota; Metazoa; Platyhelminthes; Monogenea; Mazocraeidea; Microcotylidae. RNAcentral also lists the same sequence under 1 other name.
AAGGAAUAAAAUAAGCUGUUACUGCUAAUAAUGGUAUGAGCGGUAGGUCGCUCUAUUC